AACACAUGCAGUCGAGGGGUAUAGUUCUUCGGAGCUAGAGACCGGCGCACGGGUGCGUAACGCGUAUGCUAUCUACCUUUUACAGAGGGAUAGCCCAGAGAAAUUCGGAUUAAUACCUCAUAGUAUGUGAGAAUCGCAUGGUUUUCACAUUAAAGUUCCAACGGUAAAAGAUGAGCAUGCGUCCCAUUAGCUAGAUGGUAAGGUAACGGCUUACCAUGGCAACGAUGGGUAGGGGUCCUGAGAGGGAGAUCCCCCACACUGGUACUGAGACACGGACCAGACUCCUACGGGAGGCAGCAGUGAGGAAUAUUGGACAAUGGGCGCAAGCCUGAUCCAGCCAUGCCGCGUGCAGGAUGACGGUCCUAUGGAUUGUAAACUGCUUUUGUACAGGAAGAAACGCUCCCUCGUGAGGGAGCUUGACGGUACUGUAAGAAUAAGGAUCGGCUAACUCCGUGCCAGCAGCCGCGGUAAUACGGAGGAUCCAAGCGUUAUCCGGAAUCAUUGGGUUUAAAGGGUCCGUAGGCGGUUUAAUAAGUCAGUGGUGAAAGCCCAUCGCUCAACGGUGGAACGGCCAUUGAUACUGUUAAACUUGAAUUACUAGGAAGUAACUAGAAUAUGUAGUGUAGCGGUGAAAUGCUUAGAGAUUACAUGGAAUACCAAUUGCGAAGGCAGGUUACUACUAAUGGAUUGACGCUGAUGGACGAAAGCGUGGGUAGCGAACAGGAUUAGAUACCCUGGUAGUCCACGCCGUAAACGAUGGAUACUAGCUGUUGGGAGCAAUCUCAGUGGCUAAGCGAAAGUGAUAAGUAUCCCACCUGGGGAGUACGUUCGCAAGAAUGAAACUCAUAGGAAUUGACAGCGGCCCGCACAAGCGGUGGAGCAUGUGGUUUAAUUCGAUGAUACGCG
Molecule: ribosomal RNA, 906 nt
Filed under: uncultured Flavobacteriaceae bacterium
Lineage: Bacteria; Pseudomonadati; Bacteroidota; Flavobacteriia; Flavobacteriales; Flavobacteriaceae
Description: bacterial SSU rRNA
Rfam family: Bacterial small subunit ribosomal RNA
Source: RNAcentral